GACGAACGCUGGCGGCGUGCUUAACACAUGCAAGUCGAGCGGAAAGGCCCUUCGGGGUACUCGAGCGGGGAACGGGUGAGUAACACGUGAGUAACCUGACCCAGACUUUGGGAUAACUCUCGGAAAAGGGGGCUAAUACCGGUUAGGACACAGAUUCGCAUGGGGUUUGUGUGGCAAGUUUUUCGGAUUGGGUUGGGCCCGCGGCCGAUGAGCUCGUUGGUGUGGUGAUGGGUUACCAAGGCGAUGACGGGUAGCCGGGCUGAGAGGGACACCCGACACACUGGGACUGAAACACGGCACAGUCUCCUACUGGAGGCAGCAGUGGGGAAUAGUGCACAAUGGGCGGAAUCCGGAUGCAGCGACGCCGCGUGAGGGAUGACGUCCUUCGGGUUGUAAACCUCUUUCACCAGGGACGAAGCGUAAGUGACGGUACCUGCAGAAGAAGCGCCGGCUAACUACGUG
This 462-nucleotide ribosomal RNA is filed under the name uncultured bacterium. RNAcentral's name for it is "partial 16S ribosomal RNA". It matches the Rfam family "Bacterial small subunit ribosomal RNA", at positions 28 to 507 of the family's 1533-position model. The record is from RNAcentral.